Dipodomys ordii (Ord's kangaroo rat) is the source of this 70-nucleotide non-coding RNA. NCBI's taxonomy places the organism in Eukaryota, Metazoa, Chordata, Mammalia, Rodentia, Heteromyidae. The record is from Rfam.
GGGAAUGUGGCUUAGUGGUAGAGUGCUUGCCUAACAUGCAUGUAGCCCUGGGUUCAAUUCCUCAGUACCA